AAAUUUUGGAUAUAUUUUCAUGGACCCAACCCAAAAGUUUUGCACUGUAUGCCGAUUGGGAUAAAAAGUGAGGUUUGUGGUGGUAGGGGAGGGCACAGUAAACAGUGGGAUUAGGGUCUGAGAGUUAUUGAUUGUAUCUUACUCAGUAAAAACUUUAUUUCUUAUCUUGCCUAUGGAUAUAAACCUUACGAUCAAACCAUGUAAAUCACAUGUUAUAUUUAUACUUUUUUCUUAUAUUGUGUGAUUGUGAUUGUGAUUGUGUGCGUGCCUUAAAUUUGCAUGCUUACUAUAAUAGCUAGGUUUUGGUCAUGUAUGACACAAAUGUUUGUCGUGGCUAGGUUGGUUCCAAGAUCAU
This 355-nucleotide unclassified non-coding RNA is filed under the name Hevea brasiliensis (rubber tree). Lineage: Eukaryota; Viridiplantae; Streptophyta; Magnoliopsida; Malpighiales; Euphorbiaceae. The record is from RNAcentral.